UCUCUGUGUGCAUAGGCAGACAAGAGUCUUUGGGUAAAUGUCAAAUCUUUUAUUAGAGCAACUAAAUAGUUGAAAAAAUUGUUCUUCACAAGCUUUCAGGUACAAACAUC
This is a long non-coding RNA of Gavialis gangeticus (Gharial), 110 nucleotides long. RefSeq lists it as uncharacterized. The transcript is spliced from 3 exons. NCBI's taxonomy places the organism in Eukaryota, Metazoa, Chordata, Crocodylia, Gavialidae. The record is from RefSeq and is a predicted model, not a curated record.